Molecule: non-coding RNA, 69 nt
Submitted as: unclassified sequences
Source: Rfam
GGCACGCUAGAUGCUAGAUCCCCUUCCGGCAGGCCAACGGCGGUCUGCGCAUCACGACAAAGGCGUCGC